GACGAACGCUGGCGGCGUGCUUAACACAUGCAAGUCGAACGGAAAGGCCCUGCUUUUGUGGGGUGCUCGAGUGGCGAACGGGUGAGUAACACGUGAGUAACCUGCCCUUGACUUUGGGAUAACUUCAGGAAACUGGGGCUAAUACCGGAUAGGAGCUCCUGCUGCAUGGUGGGGGUUGGAAAGUUUCGGCGGUUGGGGAUGGACUCGCGGCUUAUCAGCUUGUUGGUGGGGUAGUGGCUUACCAAGGCUUUGACGGGUAGCCGGCCUGAGAGGGUGACCGGCCACAUUGGGACUGAGAUACGGCGCAGACUGCUACGGGAGGCAGCAGUGGGGAAUAUUGCACAAUGGGCGGAAGCCUGAUGCAGCAACGCUGCGUGCGGGAUGACGGCCUUCGGGGUGUAAACCGCUUUCGCCUGUGACGAAGCGGGAGUGACGGUAAUGGGUAAAGAAGCACCGGCUAACUACGUG
RNAcentral lists this ribosomal RNA (468 nucleotides) under uncultured bacterium. RNAcentral describes it as "partial 16S ribosomal RNA". It matches the Rfam family "Bacterial small subunit ribosomal RNA", at positions 28 to 507 of the family's 1533-position model. The record is from RNAcentral.